RNAcentral lists this ribosomal RNA (581 nucleotides) under Trichoderma harzianum. RNAcentral describes it as "eukaryotic LSU rRNA". The stretch from base 203 to 356 matches the Rfam family "5.8S ribosomal RNA". The record is from RNAcentral. Lineage: Eukaryota; Fungi; Ascomycota; Sordariomycetes; Hypocreales; Hypocreaceae.
CCGAGUUUACAACUCCCAAACCCAAUGUGAACGUUACCAAACUGUUGCCUCGGCGGGAUCUCUGCCCCGGGUGCGUCGCAGCCCCGGACCAAGGCGCCCGCCGGAGGACCAACCUAAAACUCUUAUUGUAUACCCCCUCGCGGGUUUUUUUAUAAUCUGAGCCUUCUCGGCGCCUCUCGUAGGCGUUUCGAAAAUGAAUCAAAACUUUCAACAACGGAUCUCUUGGUUCUGGCAUCGAUGAAGAACGCAGCGAAAUGCGAUAAGUAAUGUGAAUUGCAGAAUUCAGUGAAUCAUCGAAUCUUUGAACGCACAUUGCGCCCGCCAGUAUUCUGGCGGGCAUGCCUGUCCGAGCGUCAUUUCAACCCUCGAACCCCUCCGGGGGGUCGGCGUUGGGGAUCGGCCCUCCCUUAGCGGGUGGCCGUCUCCGAAAUACAGUGGCGGUCUCGCCGCAGCCUCUCCUGCGCAGUAGUUUGCACACUCGCAUCGGGAGCGCGGCGCGUCCACAGCCGUUAAACACCCAACUUCUGAAAUGUUGACCUCGGAUCAGGUAGGAAUACCCGCUGAACUUAAGCAUAUCAAAA